Molecule: ribosomal RNA, 560 nt
Filed under: uncultured bacterium
Lineage: Bacteria
Description: bacterial SSU rRNA
Rfam family: Bacterial small subunit ribosomal RNA
Source: RNAcentral
CCUACGGGAGGCAGCAGUGGGGAAUAUUGGACAAUGGGCGCAAGCCUGAUCCAGCCAUGCCGCGUGGGUGAUGAAGGCCCUAGGGUUGUAAAGCCCUUUCGGCGGGGAAGAUAAUGACGGUACCCGCAGAAGAAGCCCCGGCUAACUUCGUGCCAGCAGCCGCGGUAAUACGAAGGGGGCUAGCGUUGCUCGGAAUCACUGGGCGUAAAGCGCACGUAGGCGGCUUUUUAAGUUGGAGGUGAAAGCCUUGGGCUCAACCCAAGAAUUGCCUUUGAUACUGGAUGUCUCGAGACCGGGAGAGGUGAGUGGAAUUCCGAGUGUAGAGGUGAAAUUCGUAGAUAUUCGGAAGAACACCAGUGGCGAAGGCGACACACUGGCCCGUUACUGACGCUGAUGCGCGAAAGCGUGGGGAGCAAACAGGAUUAGAUACCCUGGUAGUCCACGCCGUAAACGAUGGAUGCUAGCCGUUGUCGGGUUUACUCGUCAGUGGCGCAGCUAACGCAUUAAGCAUCCCGCCUGGGGAGUACGGUCGCAAGAUUAAAACUCAAAGGAAUUGACGG